RNAcentral lists this ribosomal RNA (505 nucleotides) under uncultured bacterium. RNAcentral describes it as "partial 16S ribosomal RNA". It matches the Rfam family "Bacterial small subunit ribosomal RNA", at positions 28 to 507 of the family's 1533-position model. The record is from RNAcentral.
GACGAACGCUGGCGGCGUGCCUAAUACAUGCAAGUAGAACGCACAGUUUAUACCGUAGCUUGCUACACCAUAGACUGUGAGUUGCGAACGGGUGAGUAACGCGUAGGUAACCUGCCUGGUAGCGGGGGAUAACUAUUGGAAACGAUAGCUAGUACCGCAUAAUAUUAAUUAUUGCAUGAUAAUUAAUUGAAAGGUGCAAUUGCACCACUACCAGAUGGACCUGCGUUGUAUUAGCUAGUAGGUGAGGUAACGGCUCACCUAGGCGACGAUACAUAGCCGACCUGAGAGGGUGAUCGGCCACACUGGGACUGAGACACGGCCCAGACUCCUACGGGAGGCAGCAGUAGGGAAUCUUCGGCAAUGGACGAAAGUCUGACCGAGCAACGCCGCGUGAGUGAAGAAGGUUUUCGGAUCGUAAAGCUCUGUUGUAAGAGAAGAACGGGUGUGAGAGUGGAAAGUUCACACUGUGACGGUAGCUUACCAGAAAGGGACGGCUAACUACGUG